UACGGGAGGCAGCAGUGGGGAAUAUUGCACAAUGGGCGAAAGCCUGAUGCAGCUAUGCCGCGUGUAUGAAGAAGGCCUUAGGGUUGUAAAGUACUUUCAUCGGGGAGGAAAAAACAAAACUAAUAAUUUUAUUUCUUGACGUUACCCGAAAAAGAAGCACCGGCUAACUCCGUGCCAGCAGCCGCGGUAAUACGGAGGGUGCUAGCGUUAAUCAGAAUUACUGGGCGUAAAGAGCACGUAGGUGGUUUUUUUAAAGUCAGAUGUGAAAUCCCUGGGCUUAACCUAGGAACUGCAUUUUGAAACUGAAAUACUAGAGUAUCGUAGAGGGAGGUAGAAUUCUAGGUGUAGCGGUGAAAUGCGUAGAUAUCUGGAGGAAUACCUAUGGCGAAAGCGGCCUCCUAAACGAAUACUGACACUGAGGUGCGAAAGCGUGGGGAGCAAAACAGGGAUUAGAUACC
RNAcentral lists this ribosomal RNA (458 nucleotides) under uncultured bacterium. RNAcentral's name for it is "bacterial SSU rRNA". It matches the Rfam family "Bacterial small subunit ribosomal RNA", at positions 340 to 786 of the family's 1533-position model. The record is from RNAcentral.